GAAAACAAAAGGCAUAUAGAGUGUUCGUUUUAUUUGUUUUUUAGAUCAUACUGCUUGUGAUAAGAAUAUAUAUUGUGAAAGACUAACUUAGUGUAACAAUAUAUUGGUGCGCAACUAAUAAGAUUUGUAUGUUAAAUAAGUAUCUUGGGGGCGGGGGUGUUUCCUAUCCAUUUAUUUAAUAAAUAUGUUUAUGGAGUUCAACAACUAAUAUAUAUAUAUGUUCAUGGUGUGAGAUUAAUCUCUAAAUUCUGUAUAACUUAUUACUGUACUCAAUGGUGUUUGGAAGAUGACUUUCCAUGCAAUAUCACUAAUAAAUGAGUUAACUGGAUCAGAGAUGUGUUAUGGUGGAAACAAAAAUUCAAUGAAGUGGAGUUUACAUGGACCAAUAGAGAGAGCAACAGAGCUGCAGACAAAAUGGCGAAGCAACAAAUUCCUUUUGAUAAUUCUUUCUACUUUCAUUAUUAUGUUCCAGACUCUAUCACGUUGGAUCUCCAUAACGAUUACGUAACCUCUCAUUGAUUAAUAAAGCAGACGUUAUAAAAAAAACAUUAAUAAAUGACUAAGGUAAUAUAAUAACUCAAAACCCGAGCUUGAUAAUUAACGACUACAAAUAAACGUAUGUGGUUACAACUUACAAAAAAGUAUUAAAACUAUACUUGUUUAUGCGUAUAUAUGAUUAAUGGCGCGACUAUGGAUGAAUGGACAACGGCAUAUGGUUUAUUUGGCGUUAUGUGUAGUGGAGCAAGAACAAUUGGGGCUUUUAUAAUAAUAUUAGAUCAAUAAAACAAACUUUUUUUUAUUAAUUUGAGAUUUAAUCAAAAAGGAAAGAGAUAUGGUCCGGUUUAAUUAUAAUAGCAAGUGGUUUUAGUAAAUGCAUAUGGGUUGUUGUCGUUUGUAUUCCAACAUUAGUUGUUGAGAAAGGAUAAUAUCAAAUUAUGAAUAUUUACUACAAAAAAUAGAUAUAUAAAUGAGAAUACGAAAAUAUCUCAUUAUAAAUAAACAAAUCAACCUUUGUCCAAAAAAUGGGAAAUAUAUAUAAAACCCCCGUCUCCAUUACCAACAAGUACAAAAACGGAAUCUAUGCAUCACAUAUUUGUUUUUCCUUCACUAAUUCAAACGAUUAUUGGAAAGGAAACCCGACCAGGCUACUUGAUAAUAGGCCACGGCCCAACAUCUUAGGCCUAAUUCUGAUGGGAUUAAUUGUGGUUUGGAUAACUUAGAUCUGGAUUAGUGUUUGUUUUCCUAGAAUUGAUGGAUUAACGAUGUUACUGCGACAUCGACUGAUCAUUUCAUUGGACUUUCGAGCAUUAUUUAAUCUAUUAUUUUAUGAUCAUAUUAUCUAAAUAGAGAAAAGAGAAAGAGAAAUUGGUUUGUAUUAUUCCAUGAAUAAUAAGUCAUUUAUAUAGGAUUACAAUACCAUGGAGACAAAGUAUAACUUGGAAAACAAGUAGACUUGACAAUCAAGUAAAUCUAAGACUUUUUAUAUGGACAUCACAUAAUAUUCAUAACACUUUCCUUUGAUGUUCAUUAUACCGAAGUGCUUUCAAAACACCGUAGAUGUUGCCUCGUUAAAAACCUUACCACGAAAAUCCAAUGGAAAAAACUAUAGUUAAAAGAAAAAGAGUGCAACGCGUAAUAACUUCCCUUCAUGUGUACAUACGUCGAGAUCUUCGAAGUGACAUAAUCAGCUAAGUUAUCACUUGAACGAACAUGUAUGAAACGAAUAUCACCAUUCUUCUGCAGUACAUGAGUUUUGCUAUGAUUUUGAUAAUUUUCAUCGAUUCUCUUGAUCUCAAAAACUUUAGAAUAUAGAAUUCUAUUACUGGAAUUCUAAUAUUUCCCUUGAGUGUCUAUCAUAUGUGUGCUUUUUGUUGCCUCAUUAAAACUUUGUCAUGGAAAAAUACAGUGGGAUAAAAAACCAUGAUAAGGGAAAAGAGUACAACCACAUAUAUUUCACAUUUCUUUCCCGGAAAGCAAUAUCUUCAGGGUAUGCAUUCCAAUCAGAUAAAUGUACUUUUGAAAUUGAGAAUAUCAUAAUACUCUUUCCAUUAGAGUAUUUAAGGUUUAUAGACUUCUGGUCCACAAUUCUUAUUUGAUAUAGACAAUAUUUUCUUAGUCUAUUUGGAUUUCAAACCAAAUUUCUUACAUACAAUCGUCUUGACAUUCGUCUUGUACAUGCGAGUAACUCAUUCGUAACUAUGAAAGUUACUAUUAUGACUUCCUUUCUUGUCAUAUGAAAUUAUAUCUUUUAAUUAUGAAAAAGAUUAGUAAUUUGCUCAAUAACACUUUAAAUAUGGUACUUCAAGACCAAACAUAUAUUGUAAUCUUUAAUAAAAUCCUUCAAGGAUCUUUAUGAUAACAUCUCAUUUUAGAUCUCCAGUUUAGAAUACAUAAAGACAAUAUGAUAUUGUUAAGAGUUUUCUUCCAAAAUACAACUUUUCUAUAACUCUUCAUGAGUUUUUGAUUAUAUUCAAAUCAGUGACUCUAUUGAUCUAUAAUCUCUUGAUAAAUAUAAAGAUGUAUAGAUUAAAUUCAAAUAUUUCAUAUAUACCAUAAAACAUAUUUCGAUCGAAUAGUUAGAGUUCCCGGGAACAUGAUUUUGAUAUCGCCAAUCCUUCAAAGAUUCUAUCUUUUAGGGAUUCAAUCUCUUAGGGAUUAUUACUUUCCAGUAGGUUGUAUAAUUCAAGUUCUUCCUUUAUUGCCAGACUAAUAAAGAACAUGAAAGUAGUUGCAUCUACCACAUGAGACUAUAUCUCUUCAAAAUUCAUUCCAUAUUGAUCUUUCUUUGGUGCAACGAUUCAUUUCUAUCCCACUUGCUUUAUACCUUCUAGUGUAUGGACGACUGGUCCAAAUACCUCUAUUUCACAAGAGUUUUUAUCUUUGUCUAUUGUUUUUUUCCUGAUUUCGCCAAUUAUCUCUUUGUGUACACUUUUCAAUAUACUUUCUUUUAUGAUCAUAUUUCUUAUUAAUCAUAUCAACUGUCACUUUGCAUGCAAAAAUAUCUUUUGCUUAUUGGUUCCAUUUUGUUUCAUACAUGACAUAACAUAUCGAGAUCUCUUCAUUGUCAUAGGUACCUGAAUUUCUUUCAGUCAUGUUUAAAAUCUCUUCCGGAGAUCAUUCAAAAACUAUAUUUCCUCGUUUUGACCAUUGUCAAUAUAUGCUCCUUUUCAUUUACGAGGAUUUUUAUCUUUGGAACCAACAUGUACUAGCAGUUUGAUAUUGUUCUUAUAGAACAUCAAUUCUUAUUGGAGCAUUUACAUCUAGUAUAUGUGACUUGAUCACUAUUUAUCUAGGUCAGUAAAUGUGUCUGGCAACAGCUUUACUAAGCUAUCUUUGUAUUAUCUUUUGGACUUCAAUUUCACAUUCACUUUAGGCUGAGGAUCAAUGAUAAUUCAUUUCAACUUAUUUUCGUUUCCAGCUGUUUAUUUUCUCCUCUUUAUGUUGUAAAUACUAAUUCACUUUUAGCAUCCAAAUCGGGCCUUACUUAUAUCUUUCAUGGAUGGCUCUAGAUUCUUAAGUAUCAAUGACGAUUCAUAUCCAACAUAUAAUUCCAACCUCAUUUGAAAACUCAUCUUAAUUUAAGCUCUAUGGUGGAGCAAUUGGAAUGUAUAUCGCAUAUCAACAUUCUUUGAUGGAAAAUGGUUGGUUUCUGACCCAAUACCAAUGAAGGGGAGAACCAAUGAUUACUUGUUAGCUUGAUGCAAAUUAGUGUUGCUCAAAUUUUUUAACACUAAUCCCAAUGAUUUUUCUAUAGUCGUCAAAGACUUUAAGAAGUGGAUUCACCAGUAUUAUAAAGAUGCAUAGUGGGUGAUCAGUCUACUAACAUCUUCUUUAUUCAUGCCAAUAACUUCAUUUGGCUGGUGAAAACCGUAUUACCAUUUUAGCUUAUGAGCAAACAAUAUAUGUGAAAUCAUUCGCAAGAAUCUUCUGAUUCUUCAAUGAAUUUUCACAUAAAUAUUUAUCUAUCUUUUUGCAUCAUUACUGAACCAAAAUGGUCUAACUGGUUCAUACCGCAUGUUUUGUUAACUUCUGGUUUACUAUAUAUUUAUCUCCAUCACACUAAUCUUUGUGUAGUACAAUAUAUAAGAGGAUAUAGAUACUUUUUUCUAAAAUACUUAUACUGCAUUGAUAAAUAUUUAUGAUUUGAAAUGUAUAUAGCAUUUCUUUUGCUUAUUGUCUCAAAAUAAGUGUCUCAAAAUUCCAGAGAUUUACUUUGAGAAUGAUUCAUCAAUCUUAGUUUUAGUGCAAACAUAAUCUUCUGGAUGAUUCACUUAUCAUAAAAUGUGAGAUUCUUUAACUCUUCCCCUCGAAAUGAUAUUACUAUGGGUUUAUCAAUCUGGAAUGAAUCUCAUUUUUUUGAAUCCACAACAUACCCGACAUGUGUCAUGUAUUCUUUCUCAAAUCCUUUUAACUUUUGAGACUUAUAAGAAUAGAAUACCGUAAGACCUUUAAAUUUCAUUCUUAGAAACUUUAAAUUACAUUCUUAUGUACAGUAAUACUAUGUACUCUUCUUUAUAUAUCUUCCGGAGCAUUCAUAUAUCUUCUUCUUGAAUACUCUGUAAGCUUUAUAUUAGCUUAUAUUGUACUCACAAUAAUUUUCUUUCAUCUUUACAUGAAUGAACAUAUCUCUUCUUUAUUACCAUGUUUAAUUUCUCAACUUCAAGUGAAAGUAUGAGUUUUAUAAAAAAAACUCUUUGGAUCUUGACAUCGUUUAUGUCCAUGUUCAUGUUUACAACCACUUUUAUGUUCAUUUUCUUGACCAAUACUAUUUUUGUGCUAUAGUCCUAUUCUCUUCCGGAGAAUGGAUCAUAAUCAACUAGACUUGAUUUAUGAUCUUACAUCAAUAGCUCAUUCUUCUUCUUUUUUUUGAGUCUCAGGGAGACAAGAUACAAAUAUAAACUUGUUAAUCUCUUUUUUUCAGUCAUGUGUCUGCUGAACAACAUUACUUGUAUAAGAGAUUAUAUUUUCUAAUACAUAUGCAUCUUUAAAAAUUUCUUCAAGAAAAUUUACUUUUAAACUUAACAUUCAACAUAGUUGGAUUUAUUUACAGACUUCAGGUCUUGUAAUUUUUAAAUGCAAAAUACAUAAUGAACUUUAGGUAAUCACUUCAGGUGAUUAUACCUUCUUUGGAUUUUCUCCAAAACUCAUGGUUUUUUUAAGAUCAAGCCUUAAGCUUAAAACCCACAUAUAUAAAUGGUAUUGAAAUAUGAUAAUAAAAUUAUUUCACGUUCUAUACAGAUAUGUAUUAUCACAAACAUUUUAUUAAGAAAUAAAUAAUACAUAUAGUAAUUACUUCAUUCAUUACUUUUUUUUAUUACUAAUAUGCUAUUUAACAAGGUUCUUAACCACGCAAUCAAUUUACUGAAUAAAGUUUAUAUCAUUUGUGCCAACUUUUACAUAAAUUACUUUAUUUAAUCCAGAUUUAAUUAACCUUCUAAAUAAAGCAUACAAAUAAAAUACUUAUCUUGAAGAACGCCCGGAGGUCGGUGAUCCAAACACUCAUAUUUCAGGCAGUUACAGUCUUCUCUUUGAUAAAUAAUUCUGAAAGACUUAAAAUUUGCUCAUACAAAAUAUGGCAAUUAUGCAAAAUCAGAAUACUAAUUAUAAUACCAAUAAAGUGAAUACUAAAUCAGGCAGAACAAUGACCAAUUGUUUACAAAAACUUAAAUGGUUCAAAUGAGUAGCCAAUGAACAUUGAACCAACAAAAUAAUAAGACAAACAAUAAUUAUGCUUAAUUAUGCAAGUAUGGCUAUUACAUUCGUAAACAUUGAUAUUUGUAAAACCAUAUAUCUCGAGUAAAGUGACUUCGUUUGCUAAAAAGAAAUUUUACUAAUAUUAUAUCUAUUCAUAUAUACACAUAAUAUAUUGCAUGCACUCAACGAUAAGACUUUUACAGUAUUGUAUGCACUCAUAUAUGUAAAUAAUAUAGUAUAUGCAUUCAACCGUAACAAAAAUAAUUCGUAGGUUCUAACUUUUAGUUCGCAGUUUCAACAAUCAAAUAGUUAAGUUAGCUAUUGGUUAUAAUUACAUGUUGUAUGAAAUAACAGUGGCAAUAUGCAACCGUAUGAAAGUAUAGGUUAAUAACAAUACAACAUGUUAAGCGUAGAUUUAUAGCAAUACUACGAAUGAACACUAUCUUGUUUAACAAUUAAGUGAUGACAUGUGAAACAUAUAAUAAAAUCUAAAGCAACCACAACCGAUUAUGAAAUCAAACACAUACGAAAUAAAAUAUGAACAGAUUGAGCAUUAGCUUGUAAACGUUGACGAGAUCUCUGAUCAAAUGAUUCUCUUUUCUUUGGAACAAGGCCAAAUCAGUAUUGUCGACUAAAGCUCAUAAGCUCAUAAGUGUGUAUGAAUCCACUCUUACAAACCAUGAAUUGAUAUAAACAUGAUUUGAAGAAAGAUUAGACAUAGACUAUAACAGAAUAAAAAUCUAUAUUUAUUAGCUCAAAGUUGCUUGAGUUUAGUGCUGAUAACGUGUUAUAAUUACAGAAAAAAAGAAAUAGGAAUUUGUUUGUAUUAUUCUAUGAAUAAUGAGUUCUUUAUAUAAGAUUACAAUAGAUUGGAGACAAGGUAUAACUUGCAAAACAAGUAGAUUUGACAAUCAAGUAAAUCUAAAACUUUUCAUAUGGACAUCACGUAAUAUUCAUAACAAAUCAACAUUUGUCCAAAAAAUGGGAAAUAUAUAUAAUUAUUGAAUAAUUAUUUAAUAAAUAAAAUAAUAAUGAUAUAGAAUAUAAAAUAUAUUAAAAUAAUAUAAAAUAUAUUAACCUAAUAUAUAUGAUUUAAAAUUAAUUUUCUUAAAGCGAAAUGUGUUUGAUUAAGUGUGAGUUUAAUAAAAUAAGCGAUACAUAAUAAUAUUUGAUGUGUGAAAAAUAUUUUACGGUUUUGUUAGAUAAAUAUUAAAAAUAGUGUGAAAUAUAAAAUUUGGUUUCGAUUCUUGGUUUCUAGAAAUAUAAGAUUUGUUCAGGUAAUUGGUAUGGUCCAAACCCGAACCAACCCAAAAAAGAGGUUUGAUUCGGUUCGGUUCUUCGGUUCUGGAUAAAUGUACACAUGGUUAUAUAUCCUUAUAUUUAAUAAAUUUUGUUUUGUUAUUAUUUAUUAUUUUUAUCUUUGUAAUUACAUAUUUUUAAAAAUAUUUCUUAUAAUUAUUAACAAGUUCAGUUUAAAUAUCUAUGACGUAAAAGUAAGUAAAGACUUAUUACCUAUAAUAUAAGGUUUUAUAGUUCUGUUUUACAAAUCUGAUUAAAAUAAUGUGGUUUGAAACUUUUAAGAGUAUAAUUGUCAAGUAAAUAUUAAUAACAAUAUUUAUCUAUAUUUCAUCACUGCAGAAUUUCGUGAACGGCUACGUGGAGAGUGCGUUAUUUAUACCAAAUGUGUUUUGCAAAAUGGUGAACAAACAAAAAAAUGUUGUUUUUGUUUUUGACAAGUGCGUUUUUUACGUAAAAUAUGUCCCGUUUUAGCAUAUUUGUGUGAAUGGCAAUUUAGUGUGUUUUAUGUUCAAUAACUACAAAUACGCACAAUGUGCUACAUUUGAAAUAUGCAAGAGUCAAUAAAUACACAUAUACAUAUUUGUAUGUAUGAUAUAACUUUUACAUUAAUUAACUAAAUCAAAUAACUCUGACAACAGGUAUCUCACUAAUUAGUUAGGUAGUACCCUCUCCAACAGAGUCAGAACAUAUACGGUAUAAUAUUUUGCUAAAUUUUCACAAACCAAAUGGUUUUUUAAGAAAACAUUGUUUUAUGCAUGCACUUUUACAUUAUGCAUGCACUUUUACACCACAUAUUGUCUACCGACUUUGCUAACUGAAUUUUUAAUAAACAUUUAUUUGUAAAAUAGUACACAGAAAAGUAUUUAGUAAAGAAUAUAUUAUGGUUAGGAAUGGUGAAAGUUAAUUCGCAGAAUUUACUGCAGAAUUGUCAAAACCGCAUCAUGUUUACCAUUCGCAAAUUUCUUUUUUAAAUAUGCGGUUUUCAAAAAAAAAAGUAAAUACAAAACCGCGAACGCCAAAAUUGCUGUGUAAAGUAGUGGUUUGUUGUCCAAAUCCGCACCACAUCUCAAACCUAGCGUUUUUAGAAAAAUGAACUUAUUUAUUGAAAUUUAUCUUUUAUACAAUAUAUAUUUACACUGUAUUUAGUGUCUAUUCACAACUUCAUAUAUUUAAAUAAAACUGCAAUUGUACCGUACCGCACUUCAAUUCUGCACGAACCGCAGUUGCAUCGUACUGCACUUUAAUUUCAUACUGUUUUUAUUACCAAAUCCGUUGUCGUCAUUCGAACCCUAUAUAUAUUCUUAACAUAAAACAGAAGUUUUAUUGUAAAGUCUAAACUUCACCGUCAAAACACAGCUACUUAUGUCGGUGACUCUUCUUCUAUCACCCUUACAAGAAAAAAUUACUAAAAAUACUCUCUCUUAACUCUCGUGCCCCUCAUCCUUCAGUAUUUUUUUUAUAAGCCUUAUCGGCUGAUCCAUUAGCCCCGGGAGGAACACGAUUAGUGCUACAAAGUGGACUAACCCGAAAGCGUACCACACUGCCUGGCCCGAGUUUGGAAUACCUUCCGACUAAUGCCAUGAGGUGGACCAAUCAUCUGUUAUGGCCCAACAUAUAAACCACUUAAGCCAAAACCUAAUCCCAGACUGGCCAAGUUGUGAUAUUUCUCAUCCUUCAGUUUUAUUGCAGCAUAUUCUCCACGCUGCUAUCAUAUGGCAACGCACUGAUCGUCUGGCCAGUUAACGCACUUUUCCGUGAAAGAGAGAAUAAUAUAUAAUCAAAUACCAACCAACGUUAUAAAUGAAUGAUUUUUUUUUGUCACAGGAAUGAAUGAGUAUAAUACAGUAAAUUUUAUAUUAAAAAGAGGCUCAUUAUUGUUUGUUUUUUUCAUUAACUUUUUUUUAAAUUUAUCUUUUAUAAAUCAACCCGAAAGAACGGGAAUUCAAGUGUCGAUUACAAGCUUGAUUUGAACAAAAAUUUUUAAAUCUAACAUUACGACACUAGCUUUGUUUGCCCACCAUAUCGACACAUUCGGCUAGAGCGCUCUGCUGUCUUCAUAAAUCAUUAACUGUUCUCUGCCACCGAUGAUAACCACUUAAAGGGUGAGGUUUACCUUGUUGCCUCGGAUGCCGGUCUUUUCGUGUCAUCAACGGAGUAGCUAGUCUCUGAUGAUCACUUCAAGCUUGCUUUCUACACUGACAUUAAGCGCUAACCCGAGUGGAAUCAGAGAUGAGAUAGCAUACCAAUGAAGCCGCCUAACCUCGCAACACCAACGGGAAGGUGAAUGGAACCUGCCAUAGCCAUAGCCAAAGCCACAAACACACUCCACACCCACCGGACAAAGAUAGGUCGCAAUGGUGGCAAUUCAGGAACAAGUUGACUUCUAAACCUGCAAAAGAAAACAGAGAACAAUCUGCCAGACCAUCCAAGAGGAAUCCCUGACACUGGGAUGAUCAUUCUCUAGACAAGCCUCCAAGCCACAAAACAAACCAGUCUGACUCAACCAGAGAAGCUGCGCGACAACCUGAGAAGGAUAAGAGAACCUUAUCCGAUCAACCUUUGCGAUUCAGACAUCAAAACCCGCUGGAGAACGAGACGAAGUAACAAAUUUGGAAAAAGAAGUGUCCAUGCCUUGCGCGAAAAGGCUAGACCAUCUUGAAGUCUAAACCAUGAGGAUCACGAGCAAAAAUAGAGCAACCGCCGGAAUGAAUUUCCUCUGCCAUAGACGACAGUAUAAAACUCUAGACCUUAAGAUGCACACGAAAACCACAGGGAUGAGAUGACCACACACCACUGAGAACACGCCGACAGUGCCAGAUCACCAUCUCCUUUGAGCACCAGCCAUUCCAAAAGCCGAAACAAGACACCAAGCUUCGACAGACAGGAACGCCGAUAGACUCCUCUCCACAACGAAGGAGACCUUCGGAAAAUAGCAUCAAGAAGAAGACCAGAGGAGAGAGCCCGUAUCGUCACUCACGCGCCACCACUGCCGGAGACAAAACCCAAAUCUGGAAAAGGAAAAAACAGAUUUGUUGUGUCUCCACCUUCAAAAGCCGACUCUAUCACCCCCCGGGAGGAUCUAGGGUUCCAACUUCAAAGCCAUACCAGAGAUUGCACAUAUCGGAGAAGAGAAGAGACAAGUGGCUAAAGCAAAGGAAAAAGGAGAGGAUGAGGAGGAGGCGCCUCCGACGCCGGAGCAAGACGGAAAGGAAUUAGCUUUUACUUGUAGAGAUGGAAGGGAGAAAGAAGAGAGAGGAGAGAAUCAGUGGAUUAUGUAUUUUGAUUUAGGCAAAUGCAUGAUUUUUUCCAUUAACUCUUCUCUGUUGCUACCUGUCUUUCUUUUUGUUCAUUCCCAUUUUUAGAAAAUGAUUAUCUUUGUUUGUGUAUUGGUCUGGAAAGCAAUGAGUGCUUCGUAUAAUCAAAUAAUGUUCGUCUGAAGCUUCAGAUUUGCUUCUUGUUUCUGCAAAGUAGUUGUGUUCUGCUUUCUUGCUUCAAUAUUCUACUUUUGGAGUUUGUGAGUAAUUAAGAGUGAAAAAUGCUGGAAGUUGAAAGUACCAAUGCUCUGUUUUUUCCGUACGAACAUUACUUGUAAUAAUCUUCUCCGAGAGCUUCGGGUUUGUUCUUCAUUCCUCUUUAUUUUUUUCUUUUUAAAUUGGUUUUUUUUUCAAGAUAGUUUGUAUGGAGAAAAUGAUUAUUUUUUUUUACUUUAUGAUCUUUAGGUCAUCUUGAGUUUACUAGUCUUUUGUUUUUCAUUAUCAUUUCCUCUCUAGGUCAAAGGGUUCCUGUUUUUCAUCAUCAUUUCCGCUCUGUGUUUCUUUAUCUUAUAGUCACCUUCCCAGUUAUAUCUCAGUUCUUGGAAGUUUUUUUAUUUUUAAAGUCUACAUGUUACUGUUGAUGUUCUUUGGUAACUUAUGUUUUAUGUAGGCUAAAUUCAUGUGUUAAAUGGCGUUUUUUUUCUUGGUGUAUGAAACAGAAAAUAUGGGUUGAGAUUGGCGAGAGUGAGGCUGAGAAAGACAGGAUGCUGAUGGAACUGGAGAGAGAAUGUCUUCAAAUCUACCAAAGAAAAGUUGAUGAGGCUGCAAAUUCUAAGGCACAGCUUCAUCAGAUUGUAGUAUAGUGGCAAGUAUUCCCGCCUGUCACGCGGAUGACCCGGGUUCGAUCCCUAGCAACGGCGUCAAUUUGAUGAUAGGAGUUUCAAGGCUCCUAAUCAAAUGUUGUAAUAUAAAGAUUGUCGAAUCAGUUCUAAGUGAUUCUAAAGCAAAGGAAAUGCAAGACCAUGCUUAAUCUAAGUGCUAUCAAGUUAUGAGAUGAUUUUUGACUAGAUUACUACUAAAAUGCAAUAAAUGAUAAAGCUUUCUUUCUCAAUAUGAAGCAAGAGGACUCAUGGGGCUAGGCAUUUGAUCUUGGGUGAUGUAGAUCCAAUCUAGAGGUGGCAAGCUAUCAAUCAAACACUUUCCUUAUGCCUAGACACUUAGCUAAACAAGCUCUAUGUCUAGAUGAAUGUUCUUUUGAUAAAGCAACUCAAACAUCUAAUCUCUUAGGUUGAAUGUUACUAAAUCAAACAUGGAGAACAAGUCUAAUAGCAAUCUUAACUCCUUUAGCAACUAAUCUAUUAGGUAAAGCAAGCUAAAAGCAUUGAAGAGUUGGUUAAGGCAUUUCAAAAUACACCUUGUGGGCAGGAAAUGCCUAGAGAUCUAUUUUAGUAUGAUCAUGACUAAAAUAACAUUGAGAACCCUCAACAAGCAAGGAAACAAGCAGAUCUAUCAAUAAACACCCUAGAUCUUCUCUAAUCACCCUUAAUUACCUUAGCCCAUAAAUCUAAGAUAACCUACUCACUAAUAAACAUGAAUAACCCCAAAAUCAUGGAUGAUUCAAAGUUAAUGAUUAGAGAGCUAGAUAAUCAAGCAAAGAUUAGAUCUUUGAACUAGAAGUUCUUUUUGAAUAGAUAGAAAUUAAGAUAAUUCUCAACUUUGUGAGUACAAGAGUAUUUAUAUGUCUUUGGUAAACCUAGUGAUUCCAUUUAAAAAAUCUAAAAUACCCUUUAAAAACAUUAAAAUUCGACUAAGACAAAGAUUCGACCCGUUGAAAUCGCCAACUCCAAUUCGAGUCACUCUCCCCGCGUUGGACCGUCGUUGAAACUCUUUUGUCAUGCGAGCGGGUAGGCGAACCCGCGUGCCCCAACCCGCUUCAGGCCGUCGAGAGCUUCUCUUCGUGGGCGCGGCAAGGCUGUCCCGCGUGCCUUCAACCCGAGUCGAGGACGUCGACGCAUCUUCCUGGCGGAUGCACGUUAAUGACUACGGGGUCACGUGCCUCCGAUUAAUUCUAGAUAAUAUUUGUUUCCAGCCUAAACAUUAUCACUUAAUUUGCUCAGUUGCUUAUAGUGCCCCCAUUAAAUUUUAGAGCGACAGUUUGAUUCUUCCGUUGUACGUCUAUUUUUUUUUACAUUUUCCUUCUUUUUUCUUUCAAUUUUAUUUUCUCAUUUCAUCGAGUAUUCCAUCGAGUAUUAGACGUAAUGUAUGGAUGUCAUCUCUUCGUGUAUUACUUUGUUACCACGUUUAUGUAGAUUUUUUGUUUGCUUUUUUCAACUAACUAUUUCCUUUCUAUUUUGUUUCAACAACUAAUCUAACUCAUUUUAUAUAUUUACACUAAUUUACACUACUAGUAAAUUUAACUAACACCCUUGGAUAAAACAUUUAAACAAUACAAAACAACUAAAAUAAUUUUAAAAAUAAAUAUUAAAAUCCAAAAUCUUUUAAGAUUUGUGUUUAGUUAUAGUUUAUGUAUGCUAUAGGAUACCAAUUUAAAUGUACUAUAUACUUUGAACUUACUUUUGGUAGUUUAUUUUAAUCAUACAUAUUAUUUAAUCUUUAUAAAAAAUAUGUUAUUAAAUUAUAUAUAUUAUUUUAAAUAUUUGUGCCCCCGAUCCAAAAAAUUUCUGGAUCCGCCAUUGGGUCGACGUAUCUUCCUCUUCGUGCGCGUGGGUUCAGCUCUGGUAAGGCUGUGCUCUGCUGCGUGCCGGCUUCGUCUUCGUCGAGUUCGUCAUCAGCUUCACACCGUCGUGGUCAUCAGCUCCACGAUUCAAUCUCCUCCAAGCAACCGUGAAGCACCGUCAAAGUCGUCUCCUCCGUUGCCGUGCUUCUGUCUUUGCCGUCGGGAUCAAGCCUCACCGCCGUCCGUCGGAAUCAAGUCUCGCCGUCGUUCGUGUUGAAGCCAAGCUCUCGAUCUCCGCGUCGUGGCCGUGCUCUUCCUUGCCGUGGUAAUCUCUCCGUCGUGCUCUCAGCCUCCGCCGUCAACGGAAUCGACAGUGCUUCAGUCGCAGGUGAAAGCUCGAGGAGCAGCAAUGGUGGAAUUUGGGGGUUUUGCACAUCUGGCCCUUGAGGUUUCAGAAAAUUACAAUUUGACCCCAAAACUAUCAAAAGAGAAGAAAGGUCCAUCGGAAUCAACCCCAAAGUUUCCAAUCUUGCAUUUAGCCCAGGCGAAUAUUCCAAAUUUGCAACGUUGGUCCCUGGAUUCUUGUUAACAUCACAGUGGACCCAAAACUUUCAAAAUGUACAAUUUAACCCUUGAAUUUCGCCCCAAACUUCCAAAUGAGCAUUCCAACCCCUAUGAUAUGCAAAUGAGUAUGCAAAUGCAACACAAAGACCUAAAUGAAACCUAAAAUGAUCAUAAUAAGCUAAAAAGUUGAAUCUAAAACUUAUUAAAAUCAUGAGAUAUCAGCUAUAGAAGCAGAAGUUGCUUCUCUAAUGGCUGCUCUUGGAGUGUUGAACAUCAACUCACCGGUAAGAGCUAUCUUCAUGAUUUAAAUUGUGAGUUUUAGCUUUCAACUGUAGCUCAUGCUAAUUCAUCUUGCAUUUUGAUAUAGUCAAGAUAAAAGUGGAUAAAAAAGCUCCAAAUCAUUGAAAGAAAAGCUUGCAGCUGUGACCCCCUGCUGUUCAAAAGGUAGCUUCUACAUGUUUGCAUUAAUAUCAUUCUUCUCUUUCAUAUUCCUAUACUGAAGGUGCCUUCAAAUGUGCAGCUGAAGGAUGUAGUGGCUUCGCUUUUCGAGCUAUGGAAUCUGAUGGACACACCACAGGAAGAGAGAACUAAAUUUGGUAGAGUUACUUAUCUUGUAAGAUCAUCUGAAUCUAAAAUCACUGAGCCAGGCAUCCUUUCAACCGAGACUAUUGAACAGGUUUUGUAAUAACACUUAUGUUAAUGUCUUUAUAUUAUUAUAUAUUCUCAUUCUUGGUCUAAGUUUCUUGUUUUUGCCUUUCUAAUAGGUGUCUGCGGAAGUGGACUGCCUCAGUAAACUGAAAUCUAGCAAAAUGAAGGAACUGGUGAUGAAAAGAAGGUCCGAGGCUCCGAGCUAGAUGAUCUUUGCAGACUAACUCACAUUCAACCUGAUACAAGCACUUCAGCUGAGAAGUCAAGUGCAUUAAUAGAUUCAGGAUUAGUGGACCCUUCAGAGCUUCUUGGAAACAUCGAAAUGCUAAUAAAUAAAAUAAAAGGAGAAGUACAGAGCCGAAAAGAUAUCAUGGACAGAAUAGACCGUUGGCUCGCUGCAUGUGAAGAGGAAACUUGGUUGGAAGAAUAGAAUAUGGUAUGAGCAGCUAAAAGCUUGAAACAUGUAAAGCUUCUAAAGGAUGUGUUGUAAAGAGUGUUUCUUUGGUUUCAGGAUAUGAACCGGGAUAAUGCUGGAAGGGGUUACAAUCAAUAAGAUCCCCAGUACUAGUUAUCACAAAGAGAAAUCCCCUCAAAUGGUUUAAAUCAUGUUUUAUGACAAUAUUGGCAUACAAUCCAAAACACCAUUAACUAAAAUAAAAUAAAAACAAUUUUUAUUCUAUAUUUGAGUUUAGUGGUUAGGGUUUAUGGUUUAAUAUUUAGGGAGUGAGAUUAGAAUUUAGGAAUUAGAUUAAUUUAGUUUUUUUUCUGGGCAAAAUGAGUGCUAGCUAUUUUGGACAUUUUAUCAUUAGAUCUUUACUUUGUGUUUCAAAAAAAAAUAUAUAUAUAUAUAUAUAUAUAAUAUCAUUAGAUACUAUUUUUGAUUAAAUAAAAAUUAAGUGUAUUUUGAAGAUUUUUCCUUAAACCAACUAGAUAACCAUAUUUUAUUCUUUUGUUUUUUGUUUUCUGCAGCAAUGGUUGACAACCUAAUCAAGAAAACAUUAGUUUGCGAAAAUGACGCGCAAAAGUUAUUUCUAUAUGAUGGUGUUCGACUGGUUAACAUACUAGAAGACUAUAUACCGACAAGGAAACAACAGGACGAGGACAAGAAAAGAUACCGGGUUUGUCAAGGAAACACUCUCUUACAGUUCUAGAUUUUUAAACUGGCUUGCCGUGACAAAGAAGGUAUAUACAUUCUUGUGUUAGGAUCAAAAUUAAGAAGAGGCAGGAUCUUUUGCUAACUCAAAGGGAAUCCAUUUAUGGAUCAAAACCAAGUCCAAGAAGAAGCAGCAGCUUUAGAAAGCCCAGCAUCAUCAACAAUGGGAACGGUUCCGUGCCUCCCACGCCACGUAGAAGCUCGGUCGGAAAAGCAACGCCUGGCCUUCUUCUGACCCCGAGAUCUUACUCGGGUCAUCAUCGCCAAAACGGAUAUUUUAAAGAAGUUAGGAGGCUCACUCCUACUCCUUUAAACUUUGUGGCUAUACAGAAGGAAGAUACUGUUUCGAGUACCUACCUACACAUCGAUUUAUAGCUCUGAGCCAGACUCGCCUCUCCAAGACUAACUUUGGCUAUCUAUUUCACCGGUAAGAGAAAUGAUCAAAACUUUUUUGAUGUGUUAGUUUGAUAAAAACUUUGUUUCUGUAGAGAUUGAUUUUAGAAUAUGGAUAUGUGGGGUUUGUGAAGUAAUCUUGAUAAUGAUGUUAUGGUAAAGAAGAAGGAAGCGAAGAAGAAGAUGAAGACUUGUGAAUACAGAAAGUGACUUGACUUGUUAGGAGAUAUGGAGAGAUAAGAGUAUAAAAUAAAACUGAAUCUGUUAAUAUUCUUUAGUGGUUACAAAUUUUUAAUCUUAUGGUAAGAGAUGCUACUUCUUGUCGUGUGAAAGUAAGUGUGUGCAUGGUUUUAGUUAUGUGUACGUAUUUGUUCAUAUGUCUACGUAUUUUUUGAGAUGUUAAGCUGUGUUCUUCCGGCCACGCACUAACAUACUAGCAUGAGCGUUCCGUCCGGGUAAUUCAGUCUUUGGUUACAUUAGUUCAAUCAAUUAACCACGUGCUAGUGGUCAGGUGGUAGCAUAGCGUUUCAAUGUCGCUAAGCAAACUGAUUUCGAAUCCGACUAUACUCAAAUAUCUCUAACACGUGACCACCAGUGAUUUGACAUUUUCUCGCCGGGAAACAGUUUACCGUUUUUUUUAGUUCAAGCAAUUUUUUUCUAAAUUAGACAAAAUAAAAAGUUUAGGUUCGGUUUGCGGUUAGUUUAGCUUUUGAAAAACAUUGCCAAAAUUUAUAUCAGUUUUUCAUUUCAGGCUAAGUUUAGUUAAAAUUUUGGGUAAUCCCAAUUAGAUUUGAUCUGUUGGUUAAAAAAUUUGGUUAGUUUGAAACAUGGCUAGAUAUAUGAUUAAGUUAGUUUUUUAAAACAAAUUAGAAAACCAAACUAACCAACAGAAAACCAAAAAUUUUAAUUUGUCAAACUGAACCACUCAUAAGCAAAUUUGAGCUAAAAGUCAAAAUUGUCAAAAUUGUCAAAAUUCCAUGCCCACUAACAUCACGAAAAUAGAAAUUAUAACAAUUCAGUGAACCGAUUGCAAC
Molecule: RNA transcript, 16716 nt
Organism: Brassica rapa (field mustard)
Lineage: Eukaryota; Viridiplantae; Streptophyta; Magnoliopsida; Brassicales; Brassicaceae
Gene name: type IV inositol polyphosphate 5-phosphatase 9
Source: RefSeq, a predicted model, not a curated record